RNAcentral lists this small RNA (312 nucleotides) under Urocitellus parryii (Arctic ground squirrel). RNAcentral describes it as "7SK RNA (ENSUPAG00010003134.1)". It matches the Rfam family "7SK RNA", at positions 1 to 257 of the family's 331-position model. From Rfam's summary of the family: 7SK was discovered as an abundant small nuclear RNA in the mid-70s but a possible function has only recently been suggested. Two independent studies have found that 7SK RNA binds the CDK9/cyclin T complex (known as elongation factor P-TEFb). The record is from RNAcentral. Lineage: Eukaryota; Metazoa; Chordata; Mammalia; Rodentia; Sciuridae.
AGAUGUAAGGGUGAUCUGGCUGUGACAUCUGUCACCCAGCUGAUUGCCAGGGAUGAUCUGGCUGAUCUGGCUGGCUAGACGGGUGUCCCCUUCUGCCUCCCACUCAGUGUGCAUCCUCUCCUUUAAAGCUGCAUGUUGUCGAAGAAGACAGUCUCUCCCUAUAGAGGAGGACCAUUCUCCUGCAGGGUAUGUGAGUAGCCAUGCUCCCCUGCUAGAACCUACAAACAAGCUCUCAAGGUCCAUUUUUGCUUGUUAUUAUAUCCCUUGCCCCUAAAAAAAGUGCCUGACAACAAGUAAAUACUUGUUAAAUGA